GGCAAGAUGGCCGAGCGGUCUAAGGCGCUGGAAUCAGGUUAUACCAAUCCAGUCCGAAAGGGCGCGAGUUCGAAUCUCGCUCUUGUCA
This is a transfer RNA of Daedalea quercina L-15889, 88 nucleotides long. It matches the Rfam family "tRNA". From Rfam's summary of the family: Transfer RNA (tRNA) molecules are approximately 80 nucleotides in length. NCBI's taxonomy places the organism in Eukaryota, Fungi, Basidiomycota, Agaricomycetes, Polyporales, Fomitopsidaceae. The record is from Rfam.